This 528-nucleotide ribosomal RNA is filed under the name Triticum aestivum (bread wheat). RNAcentral's name for it is "partial small subunit ribosomal RNA". Lineage: Eukaryota; Viridiplantae; Streptophyta; Magnoliopsida; Poales; Poaceae. The record is from RNAcentral.
AUGAUGAGGUGCACGUUGAGCUCGUGCAGGAGAAGCUCUAUAUGCAAGGCUUCGACGAGAAGGGACGCCCGCUGGUGUACCUCUUCCUCGCUCGUCACUUCCCCGCCAAGCGCGACCUCGAUGAGUUCAAGCGCUACGUCAUCUACAUCCUCGACAACACCUGCACCAGGUUGCGGACAGGACAAGAAAAGUUUGCGGUUGUGGGGGACCUUCGGGGUUGGGGGCACGCGAAUUGCGACAUCCGAGCAUAUGUGGCGGCGUUGGAUAUCAUGGCAGAGCUGCUACCCGGAGCGGCUGGGGAGGGUGCUCCUGAUCCACGUUCCCUACGUGAUCAUGGCGGCAUGGAAGAUGUUGUACCCCUUCAUCGAUGAUAAGACCAAGGAGAAGUUUGUGUUCGUCGCCGGCAGCUGGGACCUCGAUGCCACGCUCCGUGACUCCAUCGACGAGUCCCAGCUGCCCAAGGAGUACGGGGGCAGGCUUGAGCUUCGGGGCUACAACGAUUUGUCGCCACCGUCGUCGUCCAAUUAA